Molecule: long non-coding RNA, 2941 nt
Organism: Rosa chinensis
Lineage: Eukaryota; Viridiplantae; Streptophyta; Magnoliopsida; Rosales; Rosaceae
Exons: 5
Source: RefSeq, a predicted model, not a curated record
UCUUGUGAAUAUGAUGAAAUCUUGUCUAAACUUUUUAUGUCAUGACUAAAUCAUUUUCGUAUAAUCGAGUUUCAUUUUGCAAGCUUGUGAAUGAAUCGAUGAAUAUGGAACGUGAAUAAAUGAGAACCAAAAAUGAGUAUAUCAUUUCACACUCAUGUUAAAUGAAUUGUACAUAUAGCUGCAUCUUGGGGUAUGGUGAUGAAGUUUGUAAAUCAUUAAAAUUUCAGCCUAAUGUUACAAAAAAUGCAUAAUAAAACAUAAAGAUGUACUUAAUAUUCAAACUACUUACCAUAAAAUUCCAGGCAAUAGAAUAGACACUUCAAUUUAACCACAAUCAAAUCUUCCAACUGCUUUCCCCACACUCCGAUGGCCGCCGCGGCCCUCCCUCCCUCAUCUCCUCACCUUGUCUUCCCGCCGUCGCCGUCGCCGUCGCCGUCUUCUUUCUCUGCUCUCGGCGGGUCCCACGAGAGCUUCGCGUCACUCAAUUUGACUACUCGUCCGUGGAACAAGUUGAGCAGGAAACGCCGCGUUGGGGACGGUGUUCGCCGCUUCCGGUGAUUACUAGCAAGGAAAUCAAAACCGCUUAUCUGAGAUUAGCUCGCCAGUAAUUGUUGUGAUACAAAAUGAAUAUACCAUGGACGACUUCUUAGUUGACUCCUGAUCCACAUAUGUUCAGUUAUGACAUCACUUUAGAAUUUUCUGAGGCUAUAUUUGGAGUGGAAAAAGAAUUUGAACUUUCCCAUCUGGAAACAUGUGAAGUUUGCGCUGGGAGUGGAGCAAAAGUAGGCUCCAAAAGGAGGAUAUGUUCUACUUGUGGUGGGAGGGGUCAAGUUAUGAGAACAGAGCAGACACCUAUUGGCUUGUUUUCUCAGGUUUCUGCAUGUCUGGAUUGUGGUGGAGAUGGUGAAGGUAUUUCUGAAUACUGUCGGAAGUGCUGGAGAAGGACGUGUUCAUGUUAAGAUAAGUAUCAAAGUGCAAAUUCCUCCUCGUGUUAGCAGGGGAAGUAUUCUUAGAGUUGCUGGAGAGGGAGGUGCUGGACCGAGAGGGGGUCCUCCUGGGGAUCUUUAUGUAUAUCUUGAUGUUGAAGAAGUAGAAGGAAUUUGAAGAGAUGGCAUAAAUCUCUCUUCAACAGUAUCUCUAAGCUAUCUGGAUUGCAUAUUGGGAACUGUUAUUCAGGUUAAAACAGUUGAAGGAUUAACAACACUACAAAUUCCAUGGUGACAUUCUAGUCCUGACCAAAAAAGGAGUACCAAAGCGGAACAAGCCAUCAAUUCAUGGUGACCAUGUGUUUACAAUUAAAGUAGCCAUAGCGAAUCGUACCAGGUAACAGUUGUCUCUAUUUUGUAUAGGGUAGCUGACAGUGUCACGUCUUCAUUUACCUUCCCCUGUUUGUUUCUCAGUUCAGUUCACUGUUAGUCUAUUACGUAGGUCAAGUAUAUUUGGCGUAUGCUCUGUAGAACCGUGUGAGCUCUGCAAGCGUUAGAACAUCCUUAUGAAAGUAAAAGACACUAAAAUGCUAGAAAAAUAAAUUUCAAUUAAACAGAAUUACUUUGUUGGGACUUGGAAACUUACAGAAUAUAUGGCAGUAGCUUCCAAAAACACUGAUACUAACACCUUGAAAAAAAAAAAAAAAAGGACAAUCAAAGACAGAAUAAAACUAUUGAAAGGCAGGGGUGUCUGCUCACCUGCAUACUUGGUCGUGCUGUUACUCAGAGGGGGAGAGGAGGGGGAGUAGAGGGAGGAGAGAUAUGUAAGUUUGUAAUGCUGUCGCUGUAAACAAUGGGCAUUAUUGUUGGAAUUUAACCCCUCAGAUUUUCUUUUCAUUUAGCGUCAAGGAACGUGAAUUGCUUGAAGAACUUGCUUUACUCAGUAAUACUGCCGCCAGCUGUUUACGUACUCGACCCAAGUCCCAGCCAGUUGGUACGUGCUCGCUUUUAUCAUUUGAGGAUGUGCUCUCUACUUGUGUAUAUCUGUGCACACUCAUCUUGAGAGAUCUUCAAGUCCCUUGGUGAACGUAUUUGAAUUUUGAAACUGAGGGUGAAUGGAUAUUGAUGAUAUGCAUGACAGAACAUUUCUUUCAGAUUAGGUGUAUAGCUUUAUCUGACUUGAAUUUGUCCUUUCAUUCUACAGUAAAUACUCAAACUGAGAUGGGAACAGUUGCAGACGAAACAGUGGAAGAAGACGAUCAAAGUGACCCAUGGAAGAAGUUAAAAGACUUUGCGAGGUAAGGCUCACUCACCCACUCAUCUGUCAUAUACUCCUACUUACUUUAGUCAUCAAUUACCGAGUGUAAGUUGUAAAUCUAUUGCAAGGGAGAAAACCGUUGGUGACCAAUUUCCUGGAGCUGUUAUGUUCAAAAUCGAGGAUAUACAUACACAUGCAUAGGCUAUAGCCUUUGAUUGAAUCACAAGCUCUUGUGAGUUGUGAUGCUAGUUUGUUUUCAUAUACAGUAUUAUGUUCAUUGGAUGCCUAUUUUUGUACCAUUUUUGCUUUUAUCUUCACUAUUCAAUGUAUUUACUAUGUGCACUGCAGUUGACCCAUGAAGUUUUAGGAAUUUCCAGGUCUGCUGCAAAUGGUGCCUUAAAAUGGCUGAGAGACAACCUCUAGUCCGGUAUCAGUCAACUAAAAUAUUGGCACUAAUUUUUCUUCCUCGCAGGCUCCCUUCAGGAAUGGUCUUGAAUGAGCCUUACAGUCAUUUACUCUGAUGUCUUACCAAACUGGAGAACAAUUAGUUGGGUAUAAUUUUAUUUCUUGAUAACAUUUUACCAAAUUAAUGAUGAACAAUCACAUGCCUCAUGCAUUUAGCGAUUUGUAUCACCUACAAAACUAGUGGAGUUCAAGGGUAAACUUGUUAAUGUAAAUUUCAUUUUCUCACACAUUUACAGAAAUCCUUGUGAAACGAUUGGGUUUUAUUCGGAAACAUGUACUAUCUUUGAAUUUU